Molecule: transfer RNA, 71 nt
Filed under: Ornithorhynchus anatinus (platypus)
Lineage: Eukaryota; Metazoa; Chordata; Mammalia; Monotremata; Ornithorhynchidae
Rfam family: tRNA
About the family: Transfer RNA (tRNA) molecules are approximately 80 nucleotides in length.
Source: Rfam by way of RNAcentral
GGCAGCGUGGCUUAACGGAGAGAGCACGGGGAUGGGAGUCAGAGACGUGGGUUCUAGUCCCUCCUCCGCCA